RNAcentral lists this ribosomal RNA (253 nucleotides) under uncultured bacterium. RNAcentral describes it as "partial 16S ribosomal RNA". It matches the Rfam family "Bacterial small subunit ribosomal RNA", at positions 524 to 776 of the family's 1533-position model. The record is from RNAcentral.
UACGUAGGGGGCAAGCAUUGUCCGGAUUUAUUGGGCGUAAAGAGCGUGUAGGCGGCCAGAUAGGUCCGUUGUGAAAACUCGAGGCUCAACCUCGAGACGCCGAUGGAAACCAUUUGGCUAGAGUCCGGAAGAGGAGAGUGGAAUUCCUGGUGUAGCGGUGAAAUGCGCAGAUAUCAGGAGGAACACCGGUGGCGAAGGCGGGUCUCUGGGCAGUAACUGACGCUGAGGAGCGAAAGCGUGGGGAGCGAACAGG